AGCUGCAGAAGCUGAGAAAUCUGCGUAAGUAUACCCAUACUUUUAUUUUGAAAUUCCAGCCCACUCAUAAGACAAUACUUUGUUUCCCUAUUGGCCAGUUCUACAUUGUUAGCUACUCAAAAGGAGCAUACUACAUUCAAAUGGCUGCUCCACUUGAAACUCUCAUUGCAAAUUUAAGAGCCUAAAGAAUUGUCUAAUUUAAAGUUUAAUUUUUCAUUCUUUCAAAA
This 227-nucleotide unclassified non-coding RNA is filed under the name Hevea brasiliensis (rubber tree). Lineage: Eukaryota; Viridiplantae; Streptophyta; Magnoliopsida; Malpighiales; Euphorbiaceae. The record is from RNAcentral.